CGGUGGGCGGAGCGCCACGACCGGUUCGCCGGCGGCGAGAAACUCCCGGGCAAGGUGACCUUCGUCUCGGCGCAGGAGCAUACAGGCCCGGUGAGCGUCGGCCCGUCGGCGGACCGAGGAAGACCGUCGCGGAGCGGCGUCGACCGCCCGUCGUGUGGACGCGUUCGACUCGGGGGGACUGGUUCCAGUGCCCUCGGACCGCGCGAUCGCAGCGGCGGGACGGCCCGGCGUCGCGCCUGGGGUCGGUGGCGAAACGGCCGGCAACCUGUCCGACCCGUCUUGAAACACGGACCAAGGAGUCUAACAUGUGCGCGAGUCGUUGGGCGCUACGAAACCCGAAGGCGCAAUGAAAGUGAAGGCCCGGUCUCGUGCCGGCCUGGGUGGGAUCCGGGCGGCCUCGGCCGUCCGGCGCACCACCGGCCCGUCUCGUUCGCCGCGUCGAAGAGGCGGAGCAAGAGCGUACACGUUGGGACCCGAAAGAUGGUGAACUAUGCCCGAGUAGGACGAAGCCAGAGGAAACUCUGGUGGAGGUCCGCAGCGAUUCUGACGUGCAAAUCGAUCGUCAAACUUGGGAAAAGGGGGAGAACAUGAAACCGUCUAUCUAGAGGCCCUUUUCUUUCUUCUCUCCCCCUA
This 633-nucleotide ribosomal RNA is filed under the name Eophila gestroi. Its description in RNAcentral is "partial large subunit ribosomal RNA". The stretch from base 291 to 633 matches the Rfam family "Eukaryotic large subunit ribosomal RNA", at positions 665 to 975 of the family's 3401-position model. Lineage: Eukaryota; Metazoa; Annelida; Clitellata; Crassiclitellata; Lumbricidae. The record is from RNAcentral.